UUGUGAGGCAUCUCCGGGUAGGGCGCCGGCCUAAGUUCCUUGGAACAGGACGUCACAGAGGGUGAGAAUCCCGUGCUUGGCUGGCUGUCCCCGUCCAUGUGAGGUGUCUUCGACGAGUCGAGUUGUUUGGGAAUGCAGCUCAAAAUGGGUGGUAAAUUUCAUCUAAAGCUAAAUAUUGGUGGGAGACCGAUAGCGCACAAGUAGAGUGAUCGAAAGAUGAAAAGCACUUUGAAAAUAGAGUUAAAAAGUACGUGAAAUUGUUGAAAGGGAAGCGCUUGAGAUCAGACUUCGGUAGGGGGUGAUCAGCCGUCCUUCUGGGCGGUGCACUUGCCCCUCUCCGGGCCAGCAUCGGUUGAGGCGGCGGGAUAAAGGUCCCGGGAAUGUGGCUCCUUCGCGGGAGUGUUAUAGCCCGGGUGAAUGCCGCCAGUCUCGACCGAGGACCGCACCCGCAAGGGUUAGGAUGCUUGGCAUAAUGGUCUUCAGCGAC
This 487-nucleotide ribosomal RNA is filed under the name Morchella importuna. RNAcentral's name for it is "partial large subunit ribosomal RNA". It matches the Rfam family "Eukaryotic large subunit ribosomal RNA", at positions 151 to 648 of the family's 3401-position model. The record is from RNAcentral. Lineage: Eukaryota; Fungi; Ascomycota; Pezizomycetes; Pezizales; Morchellaceae.